GACGAACGCUGGCGGCGUGCUUAACACAUGCAAGUCGAACGGAAAGGCCUGCUUUCCCUUGUGGAUUGCGGGUACUCGAGUGGCGAACGGGUGAGUAACACGUGAGUGAUCUGCCCCCAACUUGGGUAUAAGCCUGGGAAACUGGGUCUAAUUCCCGAUAGGACUGCAGGGUGGUGCCUGUGGUGGAAAACGAUUUUCUAGUGGUUGGGGAUGAGCUCGCGGCCUAUCAGCUUGUUGGUGGGGUAAUGGCCUACCAAGGCGGCGACGGGUAGCCGGCCUGGGAGGGUGGGCGGGCAAAUUGGGACUGAGAUACGGCCCAGAAUCCUACGGGAGGCAGCAGUGGGGAAUAAUGGACAAUGGGCGGGAGGCUGGUGGCGGGACGCCGCGUGGGGGAUGACGGCCUUCGGGUUGUAAACUCCUUUCGACCGCGAGGAAGCCACCUGGUUGGAAGGGUGGUGACGGUAGUGGUAGAAGAAGCACCGGCUAACUACGUG
This 494-nucleotide ribosomal RNA is filed under the name uncultured bacterium. RNAcentral's name for it is "partial 16S ribosomal RNA". It matches the Rfam family "Bacterial small subunit ribosomal RNA", at positions 28 to 507 of the family's 1533-position model. The record is from RNAcentral.